This 493-nucleotide ribosomal RNA is filed under the name uncultured bacterium. RNAcentral's name for it is "bacterial SSU rRNA". It matches the Rfam family "Bacterial small subunit ribosomal RNA", at positions 29 to 515 of the family's 1533-position model. The record is from RNAcentral.
AGUGAACGCUGGCGGCAGGCCUAAUACAUGCAAGUCGAACGGCAGCACAGCAGAGCUUGCUCUGUGGGUGGCGAGUGGCGGACGGGUGAGGAAUACAUGGGAAUCUGCCCAGUCGUGGGGGAUAACGUAUGGAAACGUACGCUAAUACCGCAUGCGCCCUACGGGGGAAAGUCGGGGACCGCAAGGCCUGGCGCGAUUGGAUGAGCCCAUGUUCGAUUAGCUAGUUGGCGGGGUAAAGGCCCACCAAGGCGACGAUCGAUAGCUGGUCUGAGAGGAUGAUCAGCCACACUGGAACUGAGACACGGUCCAGACUCCUACGGGAGCAGCAGUGGGAAUAUUGGACAAUGGGGCAACCCUGAUCCAGCCAUGCCGCGUGAGUGAAGAAGGCCCUCGGGUUGUAAAGCUCUUUUGUCCGGAAAGAAAGCAAUCGGUUAAUACCCGGUUGUUCUGACGGUACCGGAGAAUAAGCACCGGCUAACUUCGUGCCAGCACG